CAUGAUUACAAGUAGAUGGCUGGCAUACAUAUGGAAAGAUUGACAGAAAAUCAAAACACUGGAUCAUCAAUAGUAUCACAAAAUAAUGAUAAAACACCAUCUUCUACUACUACAGUGGUAGUUACACCUGGAAAUGGUCAAACAGAUAUAAGAACCUCUUCUGGAGCAGGAAGAACUAAUGGAACAGUACUGUUUACAUCACCUACACAUGUUAAACAUGUAAGUAAUUUACAUGCUAGAAAAUUUUAAAAAACAUUUGGUGUAGAAAACUUUUUAUUCUAGAUAUUAUAAUAAUAUUUAUUGAAAAAAUAAUUU
RNAcentral lists this long non-coding RNA (315 nucleotides) under Androctonus crassicauda. Lineage: Eukaryota; Metazoa; Arthropoda; Arachnida; Scorpiones; Buthidae. The record is from RNAcentral.